AGGGAAUAUUGGACAAUGGGCGAAAGCCUGAUCCAGCCAUGCCGCGUGAUAGAUGAAGGCCCUCUGGGUUGUAAAUAUCUUUUAUCUGGGAAGAAACUCCUCUAUUCUUAGAGGCCUGACGGUACCAGAGGAAUAAGCACCGGCUAACUCCGUGCCAGCAGCCGCGGUAAUACGGAGGGUGCAAGCGUUAUCCGGAUUCACUGGGUUUAAAGGGUGCGUAGGCGGGCUGAUAAGUCAGUGGUGAAAGCUCCGAGCUUAACUUGGAAACUGCCAUUGAUACUGCCAGUCUUGAAUGUCGUAGAGGUAAGCGGAAUGUUGCAUGUAGCGGUGAAAUGCUUAGAUAUGUUACAGAACACCAAUUGCGAAGGCAGCUUACUAUGCGAUGAUUAACGCUGAGGCACGAAAGCGUGGGGAGCAAAC
Molecule: ribosomal RNA, 420 nt
Filed under: uncultured bacterium
Lineage: Bacteria
Description: bacterial SSU rRNA
Rfam family: Bacterial small subunit ribosomal RNA
Source: RNAcentral